GGGGAUAUAGCUCAGUGGUAGAGCGUAUGCUUUGCAUGUGAAAGGCCCCGGGUUCGAUACCCGGCAUCUCCA
RNAcentral lists this transfer RNA (72 nucleotides) under Gigantopelta aegis. RNAcentral describes it as "tRNA-Ala". It matches the Rfam family "tRNA". Rfam says of the family: Transfer RNA (tRNA) molecules are approximately 80 nucleotides in length. Their secondary structure includes four short double-helical elements and three loops (D, anti-codon, and T loops). Further hydrogen bonds mediate the characteristic L-shaped molecular structure. tRNAs have two regions of fundamental functional importance: the anti-codon, which is responsible for specific mRNA codon recognition, and the 3' end, to which the tRNAs corresponding amino acid is attached (by aminoacyl-tRNA synthetases). tRNAs cope with the degeneracy of the genetic code in two manners: having more than one tRNA (with a specific anti-codon) for a particular amino acid; and 'wobble' base-pairing, i.e. permitting non-standard base-pairing at the 3rd anti-codon position. The record is from RNAcentral. Lineage: Eukaryota; Metazoa; Mollusca; Gastropoda; Neomphalida; Peltospiridae.